This is a non-coding RNA of Arvicanthis niloticus (Nile rat), 3703 nucleotides long. Lineage: Eukaryota; Metazoa; Chordata; Mammalia; Rodentia; Muridae. The record is from RefSeq and is a predicted model, not a curated record.
CCCGUGCCUCCUGAUUGCUGAAUGUUCGCCUGGACCCUCCAAUGACCUUCCUUCUGCUACUCCAUCAGCCUACAGACCUGGUACUUGGAUUUUUGUCCAUGGUGAUUCCUACCAUCUUACUACUGAAGAAGACACCAUUCCAGUGGACCACUGUGACCCAAGAAGCAUUCAGCCAUCAUGAUGUGGCCUUUACCUCCACUCCUGUCCUACUCUGCCCAGAUUCAGCACAGCCCUUUAUAGUGCAGUCAAGAGUCUUCAAGCCAAAUAACUGAAGCUAUUUUAUCACAAGGAAGGCCAAGUUUAUUCCAUAAAUGUAUAGUUCAUUUCUGCAUUUUAUUCUUCAGAGACACAUACAUUUUGUGAACAACUUAUCACUGAUUUUCCAAAGGCUUUGUGCUCAUGAAGUUCUUUGAAGGAAAGCUAUGUGGAAGUCCAGAGUAAAGUGAAGCUGUUCUGGAUGAAGUAGUGAAGUAGGAGUUGAGGCCUACAACCUGCCACAACCAUCUUUACCACCAUGGUGAUGCCUAAAGGGACUUCCUUAUGUAAAAUUCUUCAGAAAAUCCUGCUUGAAACCACUGCCCUUGACAUGUUUGACCUGAAUGGCAUUCUCUUCUUUUGUGUACUUUCAACUCAAAACAGUUCAUUCUCAGUUGAUGCUCAACAUGUUUGGAGAUGCUUUAUCCAGAGAAUGAUAAUAAUACAGCAUUGUCUAAUGAAGCUUUAUUAAUAGCAUUCCAUCCAAGGUGGACUUCAUGGAGAACAAUGAAUAUGUAUUCCUACACUGAAGAACCCCAUUAACUUUCAGAAACCUGUAACUAGUGGUACUGGAAGUACAUGACUUGGAACUCUAUGUAAAUUGCCUGAGAGCUGGUAUUGAAGCUGAUGCCUCUUUGAGGCCAUCUUAGACCAAGUUGUUCAUUUGACCUCUCCUCAUUAACUAUGGUAUUCCAUGUACAAAGGAUAACCAUUAACUAUGAAGCAGAAUUGAAAUACAAUUUUUCCUAAAGGGAUUUGCAACCUGGUUAUUAUUCAUUGUCUCAAGUUUUAAGUCAUGUUGAUGCAACUAGUAGUUAUUAAACUGCUUCAUGGUUUUUGUUAUUUAAUACUCUUUCCAGGGCUUAAAAAAAAAAAACAAAACUAAAUUUCUCCAACACAUCUAUACUUGUCUAUUCAAAAUUAACUACUCACCACUACAUGGAACAGAUGAUCCUGAAGACACACUCUUUGAGCAUUCUUUAUCAUACAUGUGACUUAAGAUGUGGCUGAAAAGUUUCCCUCUACCCAGUGAAAUAUUAAAUGAUUAGUCUUCAUGCCUGAUACCAUCAACUGUAUGUGUGUGAUAGGCAAGGUUUGACAUAGGCAUUUGACUCUAGGCUAUGAUAGCUUGCUAGUCACUUCAAGUAGCAUAUUGUCAACCUGUUUGCUGGAAAAAUAGGCUAACUUGGAAAAAAAAAAUCUAUGAAUGGCAGCUAAGGAUUUUUUUCAAUAUUCCUGAGUUUCUGUCCUUGGGAUAUUUCAAUGGAAUUUCACCUGUCUCCUCACCUAACAGAAUGACUUACUUUAUUCCUUACUAUGAAGUAUUCUUAAGACAUUAAGAUUACUUUUGUAGAAAGGAUAAAAUUCCUGAUUAUAUAAAUCAUAGUGAUUAAGACUUCAAUUUGUGACCUGAGAAAAUCUCAUUUCUCUACUUCGUAGUCAAUUUAAGGGCCAAAUGCUAUCAGCUACUCCGAGUGCACUGGGUAAACGUCGAAACUGCCUUCUUUAAGAUCCUUGUUUCUUGUCCUCUAAUCAUGUUACAUGAUUCUCACCACAAAUCAGCAAAUCAGACUCAGAUCUGGUUAUUCUAGACUGUUCACAGUUAACAAAUCAAACUCUGACUUCUGCUAUUUUCUAUUUUCUAUUUUCUAUUUUCUAUUACCUGUACAUUGCUAGCUCUUUUGUGUUUGCAUUAAAAACAAAACUAAGCUACACUGCCAGUUAUUCCCUCCUGCCAUACUCGGUUAAAACAAAGAAUCGGGAAUAUAAUCAGUGAUUGGAAAAGUAGAAACAAAACUUAAGGCAAAAGCCUUAAUCUAAUCUAGGGCCUUUUCUACUAUCUUCAUGUCUUGGAUUUCAUCUAAAUCAACAGUGCCACCCAACCAGUCUGAGGUCUUGACUUGCUUUUAAGAUUAUUCUUAGAGAUGGGCUGUAUUACAGAAAGUGAAGACUUGAUUACCAAAGAAAGUAGAGUCAACUAUGACAAACUUGGCUCUAUGAUCCUAUUGCUCCCAGAUGUAGCAUAGAUUCAUAACUAGAACCUCAAGUCUGCAUUGAGGAUAUAGCCUUCUAAGCUGACAGUUCUUGCACAGAUGAGCAAGAAAAUGAAAGCUGUUAUACCCAACUGCCCUUUUUAAUAUCCAAAAAUAAUAUCUGGACUAAACCCUGUGGAGUACCCAGGACAAAAACUAAUUUACAGAGCUUCAUUGUUAAUCUGCCUGUUCCAGAUUAUAGCUUAAUUAUUGGUAUGGCUGGCCCUGCUGAAGUUGUCUGUUUACCUGUCUUCAGCUCUUAACCUGCCUUUUUUGACAUGCUACUGCAAUCAGACUAACUGGUUUUGAGAAGACUACAGUCAGUUUCAGCCGCUCUUGUGCCCAAUUCCACCAAGGAAUUUUGAAUAGAAGGAACCUGUACCUUACCCACCAGAACAGGAAGGAUCGUGCUGCAUAUUCCUUGACCAGCAACUUUAAGUAGAGAAUUAGAGAACAACCCUGCUUAUUUUCAACGCCUGAAACAUCAAUUUGAUCUAAUAAGAGUAUAGAAGGUUGACAGCAGAGUACAUUGCUUAUUUCUUUGGUAACUCAGAAAUAAAUAUGAUUGGCCCAGAAAUUGUAAGUUCACCUUGACAAGAAACAGCAACACCAGAAGUUUACUGCUGAACUUAAUUACCACUAACUCAAAUAGUCUCAGACCUGCUUGCCAAGUAGGAGACUAGUUUUCCUGCUUCAUAUCACCAUUGUGGUGGGGCUCUGACAAUACUGACUUGAAUGGGGACCUUGUGGUGAAUCCUAGGCUAUGAUGCUAAUGGAAAUUAUUGUCUAUUCAAGUGAAUUGUAGGUUUUCUGAGGACAGAACAGACAUCACUCUUGGUGAUUUUUAGAAUUUGAUUACCAAGGAAGAAAUACCAGCUGCUAAAAGUCAACUUUAUGGGCAAAGAUUAAGUUCUAUAUCUGGUCUUAUCCUGGAUGCUAGUUUUUAUUGCCCAGCGACCAUUUCCAUCUCACUCUUAACUUCCUGAUGUUUUUGGAACCAUCUCUUCCAAUUUUCAGACCUUGUGGUUUAGGCAGUCUUUUUGUGCUGGACAUUUUGUUGCAACCUCAUCAAUCACAGCAAAGUCCAUCUUGACUCUAGUGAUUAGUUCAGGAAUGGAUGCAUGAUUCAAGUUUGUCAAUGAUAAUCAACCCUAGGUGUUUUCUCAGUUGUGGAGAAGUUCUCUUAGAUGCUUUAGCUUUGUAGGGGAAAACUCAAACCAACAGGGCCUACUAUGUUGAAUGAACCAGGCAGAAAAUGAAGCCAGUACAGAGGGAAAUGGAGCCAAAAGAGGAAGAGACUUGAGUUCUGAUGACCACAUUUAUGCCCCUGUAUCCAACUGUGCCUGAAGCUAAUAGUACAUCACCUGGACUUUUCAGUUAUGUGAACCAAUAAAUUCCCUUUUUUGUUUAAGUUA